UACGGAGGGUGCAAGCGUUAUCCGGAUUCACUGGGUUUAAAGGGUGCGUAGGCGGGGAAGUAAGUCAGUGGUGAAAUCUUCAAGCUUAACUUGGAAACUGCCAUUGAUACUAUUUAUCUUGAAUGUUCUGGAGGUCAGCGGAAUAUGUCAUGUAGCGGUGAAAUGCUUAGAUAUGACAUAGAACACCUAUUGCGAAGGCAGCUGACUACGGAAAUAUUGACGCUGAGGCACGAAAGCGUGGGGAUCAAACAGG
Molecule: ribosomal RNA, 253 nt
Filed under: uncultured bacterium
Lineage: Bacteria
Description: partial 16S ribosomal RNA
Rfam family: Bacterial small subunit ribosomal RNA
Source: RNAcentral